RNAcentral lists this ribosomal RNA (476 nucleotides) under uncultured Saprospiraceae bacterium. Its description in RNAcentral is "bacterial SSU rRNA". It matches the Rfam family "Bacterial small subunit ribosomal RNA", at positions 28 to 505 of the family's 1533-position model. The record is from RNAcentral. Lineage: Bacteria; Pseudomonadati; Bacteroidota; Saprospiria; Saprospirales; Saprospiraceae.
GAUGAACGCUAGCGGGAGGCUUAAUACAUGCAAGUCGAGGGGCAGCGGAGGACUUCGGUCCUGCCGGCGACCGGCGCACGGGUGAGUAACGCGUACACAACCUACCUUUAAGAGGGGGAUAGCCUUGGGAAACUGAGAUUAAUACCCCAUAGUAUUGUGAUUUUAUUACAAUUAAAGCUGAGGCGCUUAAAGAUGGGUGUGCGUCCCAUUAGCUAGUUGGUGAGGUAACGGCUCACCAAGGCGACGAUGGGUAGGGGGCGUGAGAGCGUGACCCCCCACACGGGUACUGAGACACGGACCCGACUCCUACGGGAGGCAGCAGUAAGGAAUAUUGGACAAUGGGCGCAAGCCUGAUCCAGCCAUCCCGCGUGCAGGAUGACGGCCCUCUGGGUUGUAAACUGCUUUUGGAAGGGAAGAAACCCUGGGAUUUACUCCCGGGCUGACGGUACCUUCAGAAUAAGCACCGGCUAACUCCG